ACUGCUGGCACAGAGUUAACCACCAGUUGUAUAAGUGAAAUUCUGCUCAGCUUUGUAUCCUGUGCUGCAUUCACAAUACGUAAGAAGAAUGUGCUGCCCAGCUGUGUGUGAUGUCCUGCAGAUGCUCUAAUGCAAGAUCGAUCCAUCUGCCCAUCAGGAAAGUUCAAAUGGAGCUGGGAGCAGACCUGGAGAACCACUGUCAAGACAAAUGAUGUCAAAGCUUCUUGUGUUCUCAUUGGCUUCUUAGAUGCUUUAUUUCAUUCCAUUGAAUACAGUAAUUCUUUGAAAUUUUUGCUGUAUUUAAUUGCCAGUGACAUAGCUGGUGUUUUAGUUUCUGGGCCUGAAGAACAAUCCCAGUUUUUUACAGAGAAUGGAGUAUUAUGUUUUGCUCGAGCUCCCUGCUCUGUAUGAGGGAAUCUGUUGAAGGGCUGUGGUUUGAAAUAAACUCAUUUGCAGCUU
Molecule: long non-coding RNA, 459 nt
Organism: Cygnus atratus (black swan)
Lineage: Eukaryota; Metazoa; Chordata; Aves; Anseriformes; Anatidae
Exons: 2
Source: RefSeq, a predicted model, not a curated record